UGAAUUGCANAUUUUCAGUGAAUCAUCGAAUCUUUGAACGCACCUUGCGCCCCUUGGUAUUCCGAGGGGCAUGCCUGUUUGAGUGUCAUU
RNAcentral lists this ribosomal RNA (90 nucleotides) under Leccinum sp. Halling 6580. RNAcentral describes it as "partial 5.8S ribosomal RNA". It matches the Rfam family "5.8S ribosomal RNA", at positions 68 to 154 of the family's 154-position model. Rfam says of the family: 5.8S ribosomal RNA (5.8S rRNA) is a component of the large subunit of the eukaryotic ribosome. It is transcribed by RNA polymerase I as part of the 45S precursor that also contains 18S and 28S rRNA. The record is from RNAcentral. Lineage: Eukaryota; Fungi; Basidiomycota; Agaricomycetes; Boletales; Boletaceae.